ACAUACAUAAGAUGUAGUGAUUAUGCAUAGCAAUUAUUAGCUGGUCACCAGUCCUUUUAGUGUCAUUUAGGUGCAUGGAAAGGCAGUUUCUCUUCCAUUCUG
Molecule: long non-coding RNA, 102 nt
Organism: Sinocyclocheilus grahami
Lineage: Eukaryota; Metazoa; Chordata; Actinopteri; Cypriniformes; Cyprinidae
Exons: 3
Source: RefSeq, a predicted model, not a curated record